Long non-coding RNA from Lampris incognitus (smalleye Pacific opah), 769 nucleotides. RefSeq lists it as uncharacterized. The transcript has 3 exons. The record is from RefSeq and is a predicted model, not a curated record. Lineage: Eukaryota; Metazoa; Chordata; Actinopteri; Lampriformes; Lampridae.
AAAAGCUCGAGAAGGACUGAGGUGAUCGACGGACCAGGAGAUGACUAAAGAGACAUGAAGCCAGUGCUACACCUACACCCCCAGUCAGUGCUCUCACCUGUUCUGUCUGUGGCAAACAGUGUGGAUCACGGAUUGGGCUUUACAGCCAAAAGAAGACUCACAAGUGACAGGGGCAGGAUUGUCAUCGUCGGACACGACGGACAACCUUAAGCAGCAUUCAAACAUGCAUGCUUAUAGCUUGCAGAUUGGAAAAGCACUGGUAACACACCAAGUUCAAGGGAGACAACACUUUCCAGAGACUCCAGCUGUUUCAGCCAUGGGCAGGAGAAACUAGGAAGUGGUUCCUCAUCCUGCCCUGUCCUUUCCUGAGCCAAAGGCAAGAAGAGGAGGAGAAGUCAAGUGUGUAAGCCUUCUGAUGAAAGCAUUAUUUAUUCUACAUGCUGCAAGAGCAAGAAAUUCAUUUGUGGAUCUUGUCCAUCAAGUUCUGCUUUCACACACACACACAAACACGCACACACACAGAAAAGAGAAUGAAACGCAGGAGUGAAAAGUAGGAGUGAAAAUAUGAAACAAUAUUUUUAGAGUAAAACUUGUUACAUCAUGUAUAUAUAUCAUUAUAUUCUGUCAUUCAGAAUAAAAAUUGAUUUAUAUUUUGCUUUUAUAUAAAAGAUAUUUGAAUAAACUAAAUUAACUCACAGUGAUGUCCUGUCUGUAAGAUGUCUAUUGGCGUGGAUUACUUUGUCAAAAUAUAAAACUUGGAAUAAAGCUC